AUGCCGAACAUUAACAAGGGAGAUGUGACUCCCUGGAUAAAAAUGUUCAGUCUUCUGUACCUGCUGGCAGCCCUUCCCGGUAUCCUGUCUGAUGUGCAGCUUCAGGAGUCAGGACCUGGCCUGGUGAAACCUUCUCAGACGGUGUCCCUCACCUGCACUGUCUCUGGCAUCUCCAUCACCACUGGUAAUUACAGGUGGAGCUGGAUCCGGCAGUUUUCAGGAAACAAACUGGAGUGGAUAGGGUACAUAUACUACAGUGGUAGCAUUACCUACAACCCAUCUCUCAAAAGUCGAAUCUCCAUCACUAGAGACACUUCAAAGAACCAGUUCUACCUGCAAUUCGACUCUUUGACUACUGAGGACACAGCCACAUAUUACUGUGCGAGAGACACAGUGUGGAAUCUUCAGU
Molecule: non-coding RNA, 409 nt
Organism: Mus pahari (shrew mouse)
Lineage: Eukaryota; Metazoa; Chordata; Mammalia; Rodentia; Muridae
Source: the annotation of a RefSeq genome assembly